Molecule: ribosomal RNA, 442 nt
Filed under: uncultured bacterium
Lineage: Bacteria
Description: partial 16S ribosomal RNA
Rfam family: Bacterial small subunit ribosomal RNA
Source: RNAcentral
CCUACGGGAGGCUGCAGUGGGGGAUAUUGCACAAUGGGGGAAACCCUGAUGCAGCGACGCCGCGUGGGCGAAGAAGUAUUUCUGUAUGUAAAGCUCUAUCAGCAGGGAAGAAGAACUCUCUGUAUCUGUGUAAGAAGCACCGGCUAAAUACGGGCCAGCAGCCGCGGUCAUACGUAUGGGGCAAGUGCUCCCCGGAUUUACUGGGUGUAAAGGGAGCGCAGGCGGCACGCCAAGCCUGGUGUGAAAGCCCGCGGCGCAACCGCGGCACUGCAUUGGCCACUGCCGGGCUGGAGUGCCGGAGAGGUAGGCGGAAUUCCGAGUGUAGCGGUGAAAUGCGUAGAUAUUAGGAAGAACACCGGUGGCGAAGGCGGCUUACUGGACGGUGACUGACGCUGAGGCUCGAAAGCGUGGGGAGCAAACAGGAUUAGAGACCCGAGUAGUC